Molecule: ribosomal RNA, 305 nt
Filed under: uncultured eukaryote
Lineage: Eukaryota
Description: partial large subunit ribosomal RNA
Rfam family: Eukaryotic large subunit ribosomal RNA
Source: RNAcentral
AUAUAAUUAAGCGGAGGAAAAGAAACCAACUGGGAUUCCCGUAGUAGUGGCGAACGAAGUGGGAAAAGCCCGCGAUGUUAAUCCGUUUCUGACGGAGUUGUGCAUCGAGGUUGUGUCUAUUAAGAAACUGGGAACAAGAUGCCUGGAAAGGCACGCCAGAGAAGGUGACAGCCCUGUUCUUAUUCCAGCUAUUCUUAAGUACAGACAUAGUCUAAUGAGUCACGCUCUUUGGGAGUAGAGCGCAAAAUGGGUGGUAACCUCCAUCCACGGCUAGAUAAUGGUGAGAGACCGAUAGCGCACAAGUA